This 641-nucleotide ribosomal RNA is filed under the name Philus pallescens. RNAcentral's name for it is "eukaryotic LSU rRNA". Lineage: Eukaryota; Metazoa; Arthropoda; Insecta; Coleoptera; Vesperidae. The record is from RNAcentral.
UUCAGGGGUAAACCUGAGAAACCCGAAAGGUCGAAAGGGGAAAUUCAUUCGGGUCUCGGCAGUCGGCGAUGCGUGGUGCGACGGACGGCGUCCGCGUCGUCUGCGCCUUCCACGCUUCGAACCGGUGCCGAACUCGUGCACUUUUCCCCUAGUAGGACGUCGCGAUCCGUUGGGUGUCGGUCUAAGGCUCGCGGUGGAGCCCGCGCGGACGUUUCGGCGUUCCGCGCGGACCCGCGGUGUCCCGGCCGACUCGCUCGACGGUAUACAUAUGGCGCGGGGCCGCUACUGACUCUGUCAGAGUUAGCGUUCGGCCCGCGGCAAGCACGUUCGGUGUUUGACGAUGAUCGGACCUGGUGCCGGUCUUGUCCCCGAGCGACUGUUGGCUGCGGUGUUCUUAUCUCGAACAGACCUCGUUGAAACGCCGAUCUGCGACGCUAUAGCUUUGGGUACUUUCAGGACCCACGGACCAAGGAGUCUAGCAUGUGCGCGAGUCAUUGGGACAUCACUAAACCUAAAGGCGUAAUGAAAGUAAAGGUUCGCCUCGCGCGAACCGAGGGAGGAUGGGUGGUUCGCCCUUAAAGUGGCCGCCCCGCACUCCCGGGGCGUCUCAUUCUCAUCGCGAGAAGAGGCGCACCAAGAGC